CCUUUUUUUACUCACUGGAAGGUUGUCAUGUUGACUCUGAGGGACUUGAGCAAAAACGCCUGCGUUGGCGGCUCAGGAGGGAAGCGACGAACAGAAUCAGCUCCAGCAUCGAUUGUUCAAAGGGAGGAAAAUUCCACGCUCCUGCUGCAGGAAUCAGGCGAGAUGAGCCAGGAGGUGGCGGGGCAGGAGAAAAUGGGAGUAAUCCUUUAAAGCAAGCCCAGACAGAAAAGGCCUUGUCCCUGGGCCACCCCGAGACGUUAUCCUGAGCCCUGGAAGCUCUGUGUGGCUGGCCCAGCAGUUGCAGCCUCACUGGACAACGAGUGCUGAGCCCUGUGCUAACUCCGUGACGCUGCAAGGGAAGGCCGGUCACGCUGAGAGGCAAGGAGUUCACCGGAGAAAUGCUGGCUCCAAGUCUUUACAAUUUGCUUUGCCGCUAAUUCCCCUUAGAGUGCAGAGGAUGCAAGCAAAGGUGUCGGUAGUUAAUCCAAUAAUUAAAAACAAA
This 502-nucleotide long non-coding RNA is filed under the name Homo sapiens (human). Its description in RNAcentral is "HSALNT0156637". The record is from RNAcentral. Lineage: Eukaryota; Metazoa; Chordata; Mammalia; Primates; Hominidae.